Molecule: ribosomal RNA, 492 nt
Filed under: uncultured bacterium
Lineage: Bacteria
Description: partial 16S ribosomal RNA
Rfam family: Bacterial small subunit ribosomal RNA
Source: RNAcentral
AGUGAACGCUGGCGGCAGGCCUAACACAUGCAAGUCGAGCGGCCGCACAGUAAGCUUUCUCUUUUACCGGUGGCGACUGACGGACGGGUGACGCAUACAUCGGCUUCCUCUUUUUCGUGGGUGAUAUCGGGGGGACACUUCCGCUAAUACCUAAUAUUACCUACCGCUUAGAUCAGGAGAUCUUGAUACCUUUCGCGACUGAUUUAGCCGGUGUCGGAUUAGCUAGUUGGCGUGGUAAAGGCCCACCAAGGCAACGAUCCGUAGCUGACCUGAGAGGAUGAUCGGCCACACUGGAACUGAGACACGGUCCAGACUCCUACGGGAGGCAGCAGUGGGGAAUAUUAGGCAAUGGGCGCAAGCCUGAUCCAGCAAUACCGCGUGGGUGAUGAAGGCCUUCGGGUUGUAAAACCCUUUUAUUGGGGAAGAAAAACAGCGGAUUAAUACCCGGAUGUUUUGACGGUACCUAAAGAGAAAGCAACGGCUAACUUCGUG